CUACCGAGCUUAAAAUCCUGUGUUCCUCUUCUCGCAACCUCUUUCUCUCACUCAACUCGAACCCUAACACCCGCCUUAGAUACCCCUUUUUCCAUUACUCACCUUGAAACCGAGCCUUAAUCCCUAGUUAUGUCUCUCUCCGGACGUUUAAUGUCCUCUCUCUCAAUUGCCGCUAUUUCCUCUCUGGCCCUAUGGUUUCGGAUAAGAAAAAUAAAAAGAAAACAAAGGAGGACGAAGAGAUGAUGGAAGCCGCUCCGAGAAGAACACCAAGAGAAGUGAUGUUGACUUCUUGAAGCUCCCUCCGGUGAAUGAAUCGUAGCGGAAUGAUGACGAUAAUUCGAAGGAGAACUCGAAUCAGAGAAUGAACU
RNAcentral lists this long non-coding RNA (368 nucleotides) under Vigna radiata. RNAcentral's name for it is "long non-coding RNA (VRAD_LNC017818)". The record is from RNAcentral. Lineage: Eukaryota; Viridiplantae; Streptophyta; Magnoliopsida; Fabales; Fabaceae.